This 425-nucleotide ribosomal RNA is filed under the name uncultured bacterium. Its description in RNAcentral is "bacterial SSU rRNA". It matches the Rfam family "Bacterial small subunit ribosomal RNA", at positions 354 to 796 of the family's 1533-position model. The record is from RNAcentral.
GUAGGGAAUCUUGGACAAUGGGCGAAAGCCUGAUCCAGCCAUGCCGCGUGAGUGAAGAAGGCCUUAGGGUUGUAAAGCUCUUUUGGCGGGGACGAUAAUGACGGUACCCGCAGAAUAAGCCCCGGCUAACUUCGUGCCAGCAGCCGCGGUAAUACGAAGGGGGCUAGCGUUGUUCGGAAUUACUGGGCGUAAAGCGCACGCAGGCGGAUUGAUAAGUCGGGGGUGAAAUCCCGGGGCUCAACCUCGGAAUUGCCUUCGAUACUGUUAGUCUUGAGUCCGGGAGAGGUGAGUGGAAUUCCUAGUGUAGAGGUGAAAUUCGUAGAUAUUAGGAAGAACACCAGUGGCGAAGGCGGCUCACUGGCCCGGUACUGACGCUCAUGUGCGAAAGCGUGGGGAGCAAACAGGAUUAGAAACCCCGGUAGUCC